GUGGGGAAUAUUGGGCAAUGGGGGAAACCCUGACCCAGCAACGCCGCGUGAAGGAAGAGGGUUUUCGGAUCGUAAACUUCUAUCCUUGGUGAAGAUAAUGACGGUAGCCAAGAAGGAAGCCCCGGCUAACUACGUGCCAGCAGCCGCGGUAAUACGUAGGGGGCAAGCGUUGUCCGGAAUGAUUGGGCGUAAAGGGCGCGUAGGCGGCCUGGUAAGUCUGGAGUGAAAGUCCUGCUUUUAAGGUGGGAAUUGCUUUGGAUACUGUCGGGCUUGAGUGCAGGAGAGGUAAGCGGAAUUCCCGGUGUAGCGGUGAAAUGCGUAGAGAUCGGGAGGAACACCAGUGGCGAAGGCGGCUCUCUGGUCUGUAACUGACGCUGAGGUUCGAAAGCGUGGGUAGCAAACAGGAUUAGAUACCCGAGUAGUCC
RNAcentral lists this ribosomal RNA (425 nucleotides) under uncultured bacterium. Its description in RNAcentral is "partial 16S ribosomal RNA". It matches the Rfam family "Bacterial small subunit ribosomal RNA", at positions 354 to 796 of the family's 1533-position model. The record is from RNAcentral.